This 216-nucleotide ribosomal RNA is filed under the name uncultured bacterium. RNAcentral describes it as "partial 16S ribosomal RNA". It matches the Rfam family "Bacterial small subunit ribosomal RNA", at positions 524 to 741 of the family's 1533-position model. The record is from RNAcentral.
UACGGAGGGGGCUAGCGUUGUUCGGAAUUACUGGGCGAAAGCGCGCGUAGGCGGACCCGCAAGUCGGGGGUGAAAGCCCGAGGCUCAACCUCGGAACUGCCUUCGAUACUGCGGGUCUCGAGUCCGGGAGAGGUGAGUGGAAUUCCUAGUGUAGAGGUGAAAUUCGUAGAUAUUAGGAAGAACGCCCGUGGCGAAAGCGAGCCCCUGGACGCUACU